GGGGGCAUAGCUCAGUGGUAGAGCGUCUGUUUUGCACUCAGAAGGUCUCCAGUUCAAUUCUGGUUGCCUCCA
RNAcentral lists this transfer RNA (72 nucleotides) under bacterium AB1. Its description in RNAcentral is "tRNA-Ala". It matches the Rfam family "tRNA". Rfam says of the family: Transfer RNA (tRNA) molecules are approximately 80 nucleotides in length. Their secondary structure includes four short double-helical elements and three loops (D, anti-codon, and T loops). The record is from RNAcentral.